Molecule: ribosomal RNA, 667 nt
Filed under: alpha proteobacterium IMCC14427
Lineage: Bacteria; Pseudomonadati; Pseudomonadota; Alphaproteobacteria
Also listed under: 1 other name
Description: bacterial SSU rRNA
Rfam family: Bacterial small subunit ribosomal RNA
Source: RNAcentral
AACGAACGCUGGCGGCAGGCCUAACACAUGCAAGUCGAGCGCACCUUCGGGUGAGCGGCGGACGGGUUAGUAACGCGUGGGAACGUACCCUUUUCUACGGAAUAGCCUUUGGAAACGAAGAGUAAUACCGUAUACGCCCUUUGGGGGAAAGAUUUAUCGGAGAAGGAUCGGCCCGCGUUAGAUUAGAUAGUUGGUGGGGUAACGGCUUACCAAGUCUACGAUCUAUAGCUGGUUUUAGAGGAUGAUCAGCAACACUGGGACUGAGACACGGCCCAGACUCCUACGGGAGGCAGCAGUGGGGAAUCUUAGACAAUGGGCGCAAGCCUGAUCUAGCCAUGCCGCGUGAGUGAUGAAGGCCUUAGGGUCGUAAAGCUCUUUCGCCUGUGAUGAUAAUGACAGUAGCAGGUAAAGAAACCCCGGCUAACUCCGUGCCAGCAGCCGCGGUAAUACGGAGGGGGUUAGCGUUGUUCGGAAUUACUGGGCGUAAAGCGCACGUAGGCGGAUUGGAAAGUUGGGGGUGAAAUCCCGGGGCUCAACCCCGGAACUGCCUCCAAAACUAUCAGUCUAGAGUUCGAGAGAGGUGAGUGGAAUUCCAAGUGUAGAGGUGAAAUUCGUAGAUAUUUGGAGGAACACCAGUGGCGAAGGCGGCUCACUGGCUCGAUACUGA